This 116-nucleotide ribosomal RNA is filed under the name Escherichia coli. The record is from RNAcentral. Lineage: Bacteria; Pseudomonadati; Pseudomonadota; Gammaproteobacteria; Enterobacterales; Enterobacteriaceae.
UCUGGCGGCAGUAGCGCGGUGGUCCCACCUGACCCCAUGCCGAACUCAGAAGUGAAACGCCGUAGCGCCGAUGGUAGUGUGGGGUCUCCCCAUGCGAGAGUAGGGAACUGCCAGGU